Long non-coding RNA from Rattus norvegicus (Norway rat), 609 nucleotides. RefSeq lists it as uncharacterized. Lineage: Eukaryota; Metazoa; Chordata; Mammalia; Rodentia; Muridae. The record is from RefSeq and is a predicted model, not a curated record.
GUGCGUGCGCGGGGACCCUCCCUCGCCUCGCUGGCUGGUCGGUGACCUGAUCCUCUUUGGUGGAUCUCGUGGUGGUUUUAUUUUCUCAGCAACAUCUCCGCCCCCUUCUGCUGUAGCUGAAUCUUGUGAGUAAGAUUCCUAGGGCCCCAGUCCCAUGUCAAGGUUUGUGCAAGGCCCAGUCAGCUUGAAGUUUGGAACCGGGACCUCUGUCGGAAGGAAUGGGACGUGGCCGGACAGCGGUUUGGCCUCGUUCCCCUCCACCUUUGGACAGCUUGGGGAGGUGCUGAGGGUUAAUGUGAAAUGGGACAGCAUAGAAGACUGAAGAUGGGAAAGAAGUCAUAAGAAGCUUCCCUGAGGACCUUUGAGGGGAAGAGCGUCUCACAUUAAGAGAGGCCUAGACCUGACCGACAAAUUCUACCUUGAUUAUUCUACAAAUUCUAUCUGAAAGAAAGGAGAGAAAAGAAUGGGCAAAAAGUGAUCCACAGUUGAGAUCUGUGGCUAUGCCUCCUCUCAAUAUAUCUCUGUGAAGCUGGUUCAGCCUGAAUCACAAUUUAAGAAUUAUUUGUCUACAGAUGUCCCCACCUUAAAUAAAUGUCUAUUGUAACCAUU